GGCCGCUUAGCUCAGCUGGUUAGAGCAUCGUACUAAUACGAAGACAUCGUAUCAGUCCACAUGCGGAGGUCGGCAGUUCGAUCCUGUCAGUGGUCA
This 96-nucleotide transfer RNA is filed under the name Trichosporon asahii var. asahii CBS 8904. Its description in RNAcentral is "tRNA-Ile". The record is from RNAcentral. Lineage: Eukaryota; Fungi; Basidiomycota; Tremellomycetes; Trichosporonales; Trichosporonaceae.